CCUUGGACCCCAUGCGGCGUUCAUCUCGUGAACCUCCCCAGGGCCGGAAGGCAGCAAGGAUAAGCGGGCUCUGUCGGGUGUGUGGGGUCCCCUUUUU
This 97-nucleotide signal recognition particle RNA is filed under the name Actinophytocola sp. RNAcentral describes it as "signal recognition particle sRNA small type". It matches the Rfam family "Bacterial small signal recognition particle RNA". Rfam says of the family: The signal recognition particle (SRP) is a universally conserved ribonucleoprotein involved in the co-translational targeting of proteins to membranes. Archaeal SRP consists of a 7S RNA and homologues of the eukaryotic SRP19 and SRP54 proteins. The record is from RNAcentral. Lineage: Bacteria; Bacillati; Actinomycetota; Actinomycetes; Pseudonocardiales; Pseudonocardiaceae.